RNAcentral lists this long non-coding RNA (3135 nucleotides) under Cucumis sativus (cucumber). RNAcentral describes it as "long non-coding RNA (CSAT_LNC000821)". Lineage: Eukaryota; Viridiplantae; Streptophyta; Magnoliopsida; Cucurbitales; Cucurbitaceae. The record is from RNAcentral.
CUCUGUUAUUAUGCUUUGGACGUAUUUGGCUGCUGCUCUUUCUCUCGCUCUUUGGUCUGCAGUUUUCAUGUGGAUCUUGUCUUGAUUCCUUUUCUUCUUAUAUUCUUUUUGUAAAAUGUAGUCUAUUUGUUUUGCCAACCUGUUUUGCUAUAUUCAAAAAAUAUAAAGAGGGAAGUAGGUGAUAAAAUAACAUAUCAAUACUCAAUUCAAUUUGGAGUCUUGUAAGUUAUGUAUUCAAAAGUGAUAGCAUUAGUUAUUCCUUUUUCUUUUCUUUCUUGAAAAUCAAUACUUUUCUUAUAUUUUAUAUUUUAUAUGUCUGAAUACAUAAUAUAAUAUAUAAUUGUUAUGAUCAAAUCAAUUAUAGUUCAAUUCAUAUAUGAGUGAGUAACUACCAUGUAUAUAUUUCAAAUGUUAGACGCACUUAAAAAAACCGAUGUGAUGUUGCUCAACUUCAAGAAUUUGUAGACAUGCUGUAAAUUACCUUUACAACAACUCGAGCUCGAGGGAGAACGUAGCCACAUACAAAAAAUGUAAAGUCAUACUAUUGAACCAUGCAUGGAAACGAUGGUGUAAUUUAGAUAUAUUAUAAUAAAUUGAUCACAACCAUACAUAUUUUUGUUUACUUGGAGGAGGGGAGGGGAGGUUUUAUUUUUUAUUCUUGUUUUUAAGAAAAAGAUAGAUGAGACCAAAUAAAAUGCUUUUGUUUAGUGGUUAGAAAGACUCUAUCUUCAAGGGGUCGUUUGAGGUAUGCUACUUAGAGGUUGGUAGAAUAGACUACACCAUGUUUAGGAUACCAACCAAUAAUAAUAGUAUUUACCGUUACCUAUAACAUAGAAUUAAGAGCAAUAGUUAUUUUUUCAAAUUUUUUUAUCGUAUUUACUGUUUUGUCACAAUAUUUACUUCUUAUCAAAUAAAAAUAGUUUGUGUAUCACUCGUAAUACAAAAUAUAAUAACUAAUAUAGUAUUGUAAGUGCUUGCCUAAGUAUUCUUUAACAAUAUAAUGUAUUUAAAUGUUGUAUUAUAAAAAUAAUGGUUAAAAGUGAUUAUUUAUAGUUUAAUUAACGAUAAAUUUAAAAUACAUUUUUAAGUGUUUAAUUUAUAAACUAAGUUAUUUUAAAAAGAUGGAGGUCAUUUAAAAUAGAUUUUUAGAAAAAAUAAAUUAAAGAAAAAUGAGUUUCUUAAUUUUUUUUCUUUUGAUUCAAUUGAAACGAACUCUAAGUGUUAGUCACAAUUUCGUUCAUGAACUUGAAUUUUUCUAAAACUUUUUAUCAUUUCUAUGUUCAUCGAUAUUUACAUAAAAUUGCAAGUUUGGAGUCCAAAUUAUUCUAUCUUAAAUGGAACGACAUGUCGUCCGCGCUAGCGGCGUCCUGGUACCGGGAAAGUUCUUAAUUACGAUUUACGGCAGUAUGCUCUAAAUACGACACUCGGCACGGCCAUUUUUUCAUUCACUGCGGCGGAGCACAGUCGUCUCGAAAAGAGGUUGGCAUCAGACUGAAUACGGGCCCAUUGGCAUAUGAGCCUGCACCGCCACAUCGGGAAGAAGAGUUUGGCUGUGGAUGCUGUGCUAACAUGUGAGCAUAGCUUUUGGGAUUUUGACAAAAUUAGAGUAAAAUUGUAGUUACAGAAGUCUUGUACGUAGACUUUUUUGUAGGUUUGUUUCGUUAAGAACUCAUUGUUUUUCAUGAAUCUUACUAAACUGCACAAGCAAGAGAGCAAAGCGAAUAUAGUCUUCAUUGGCAUUUUGGUAACUUUCAACUUUGCGGAAAUGCGUAGUUGUAUGGCCAUUGUCGCUUUCGCAUGUGCUUUGUUUCUAAAAACUUGUUGAAAGGGAGCUGACUCUAAAUUAUUUAUAAAUUUAUCAAAAGGAGUGUUGUAAAUCGAAUACGAGGACCUCUGAAAUUGUGGAAUGAAUUUAUGUUGAAAAAAGUAUUGAAAUGGUUGGCUAGUUUGUUGUAUUCGCGCCUUACUUUAUCUCCGAGCCAAACUUCAAUCUUCACAUGCUUCCAAGUUCAUGAUUUGCCUUUUUGAGGGAAUGGGAAGGCUGCUAUUGUCUCGAGCGAGUUAUACGAAAGUUAGGAAUUCAAGUUUCUAUAGCCAAAUUUUGCAUAAUUUGUCCACUUCCUCUAUCCGUUGAAACUACUUUCUGAAAAAGCAGUACAACUAAUGUAUUCAAUUUUGGUAAAAAUAAUUAACUUUUUAUCUUUCUAUUUAUUUGCUAAUUCUCCUCCUAUUCUUCGUCUUAUUUAUCUUUUGAUGUUUUUCCUUACCGAUGCACUUUAAUGCUAGAUGGGGACUAUCAAGCCCCUGCCGAAGUCAGUUCGUAAUUCUGUGCGUGCUGGUGUUAUUCUCUAUGAUGUCACGAAGGUCGUGGAAGAGCUUGUUUAUAAUAGUUUGGAUGCUGGUGCAUCGAAGGUAUCGAGUCUAAUCGUCCUUUGUAUGAUUUUGUGCUAUGUUGAGUCGUGGGGUUGCUUACUUGCCCAAGUUGGAAAUGUGUUAAGUUUUAUGACUAAUUAUCUUCCGGUAAGUUAAUCUGAUCAAGAGUGUGCAGAAUAUUAAACUUAGAUAUAAAUCAAUCUCGCUCCUAAAACAGUUACAAGUAGUGCAUUAUGAAUUAGAGGCUACCAUGUAAUCAUAGCUUAUUUCUUAGUCAUCCAUCACCGAGUACCGUUCUUCUCUUCUACAAGAGAAAAAUGACUCCUUUAUGGUUGAUUGAUUCUCUUUACAAAGAGGAUAAAUUGAGAAUCGAUCUAGUUACUGAACUCAGUCUAUGUUUUAGUGUUUUUGUAUUUCUUUGUUGUUCUUGUUUGGUGGAAUCCUAAUAUUGUCAUAUUAAGCGAAUUAAAGAAUGAUGAUUAGGCAUGAGCACCAAAUAGUAGGCUAGGCAGAUACAAUAACAGCGACCAAAUCUGGUAUAAUAUAUCGUGUUUUUGCUGGUUCGCCUUAUUCAAUGUUUUAGCUUGUUUACCUGGAUUUUAUCUUGCUACUUUGUUUCUUUGAGUCAUGUUGUGCGAAAUCAUUAUUUGGCAGUUAUAUUGACUUAUAGAACAACAUCAAAAAGCACCAUUUCUCAUUGUGUAAAACGAAGCACCUUUUCUCUCACGUUAGCAUAUCCUUUUUAGUUAGUAAUUGAUGCAC